UGCAUCGGCCGGGAAUUGAACCCGGGCCGCCCGUGUGGCAGGCGAGCAUUCUACCACUGAACCACCGAUGG
This 71-nucleotide transfer RNA is filed under the name Cordylochernes scorpioides. RNAcentral describes it as "tRNA-Gly". The record is from RNAcentral. Lineage: Eukaryota; Metazoa; Arthropoda; Arachnida; Pseudoscorpiones; Chernetidae.